AACGAACGCUGGCGGCAUGCCUAACACAUGCAAGUCGAACGAGACCUUCGGGUCUAGUGGCGCACGGGUGCGUAACGCGUGGGAACCUGCCCUUAGGUUCGGAAUAACUCCCCGAAAGGGGUGCUAAUACCGGAUAAUGUCUUCGGACCAAAGAUUUAUCGCCUUUGGAUGGGCCCGCGUUGGAUUAGCUAGUUGGUAGGGUAAAAGCCUACCAAGGCGACGAUCCAUAGAUGGUCUGAGAGGGUGAUCAGCCACACUGGGACUGAGACACGGCCCAGACUCCUACGGGAGGCAGCAGUGGGGAAUAUUGAACAAUGGGCGAAAGCCUGAUCCAGCAAUGCCGCGUGAGUGAUGAAGGCCUUAGGGUUGUAAAGCUCUUUUACCCGGGAUGAUAAUGACAGUACCGGGAGAAUAAGCUCCGGCUAACUCCGUG
This 433-nucleotide ribosomal RNA is filed under the name uncultured bacterium. RNAcentral's name for it is "partial 16S ribosomal RNA". It matches the Rfam family "Bacterial small subunit ribosomal RNA", at positions 29 to 507 of the family's 1533-position model. The record is from RNAcentral.